This 565-nucleotide long non-coding RNA is filed under the name Homo sapiens (human). RNAcentral describes it as "HSALNT0154252". Lineage: Eukaryota; Metazoa; Chordata; Mammalia; Primates; Hominidae. The record is from RNAcentral.
UUGGACCAGCAGGUCCAAAACAGCAGAAGCCAAGGCAGGCAGCGGUCUUGGAGAUGCCCUCUGACCUGCCGUGGACUGGAGCCUCUAAGAUGCUUCCUCCUGAGGCUGGAGCUGAUGACUGGCAUCCUUGGGAUGUAACCUGCGUGCAGCCGGCAGGCACAGCCUUUUCUCGGGGGCCUCCAGUGACUCAGAGUCAAAUCUGUGCUUCUUGGCUCCUGGAUCUCUGAGCUGCACCCACUGGACCCCUAUGCCAACCCCAGCACCCCUGUUCUCCAUGGCGGCCCCGCCCUGAGGAUUUCCUAUGCCUUUCUACAGAGCUUUCUCCUUCUCCUAGAUCCCUUUUCUGCAAAACGAGGCUGGGGAGUUCUGAGCCAAGCCCAGGCCCACGUGCCUGGAACCAGAGACAGCGUAAGGAGCAGACACUGCCAGGUCACUUGCAGCAGACUCCAGGAGGAAAUGAGGGAAACAGAACCUCAGCCGUAGCCUAGCCAGGGCUCUCAGAGCCUAGAAAGCUCUUAGGAGAAGUGGAGAGUUGUUCAGAUCCAGGCUAAUUUGUCAUCUCCAG